GGCUGCUCAAGGGGCUGAUAUCAUAAUGUUCCCUCCACCAUCAUAAUCCCCCACGUGAGGGUCCAAGACAUUAUCUUUGCUUCCUUGCCUUCAUGCCAACUGCAAUUCUGGUUUCUUUCGUGUGCUUGUAUCCUAUUUGUCUAGGUGAAUUAAUGUAUAUCCUUCAAAAUCGGAAGAAUGAUAUUAUGUGAACCUCUGUGAGAUCUACAACCACCAAGCAGGUAUGGACAUCGCCUCUCUUCCUCCUAGCCCUUCUAAGUUGCUGAACAAACUUGCAAUGGAUUAGCAACUGGACAGCAUGAACCACGUGAUACAUGUGGUAAGCAAUCCAAACAAUUAAAAAAAAAAACAAUUCAAACAACUUGACAGCAUGAAAGUUAACGGGCAUAGAUGCCGCGUGGUAUUUACCUUGCAAGCAUCCCUUCAGGCAUAUACUGCAUACUAAAUAUAUGUCAUCGAAAUUCAGUUUGAUACCUGGAAUUUGCAAAGUUGUCCAUAAGAUAUUCAGCUCAAUGCUUUUUGUGGACAUGACUAAUUUUGAAUUAUCUCUCUCAAGGGCAUGGCUAUCAAAUCCGGUGUGC
RNAcentral lists this long non-coding RNA (581 nucleotides) under Triticum aestivum (bread wheat). RNAcentral's name for it is "long non-coding RNA (TAES_LNC012764)". Lineage: Eukaryota; Viridiplantae; Streptophyta; Magnoliopsida; Poales; Poaceae. The record is from RNAcentral.